RNAcentral lists this transfer RNA (70 nucleotides) under Podarcis lilfordi (Lilford's wall lizard). It matches the Rfam family "tRNA". From Rfam's summary of the family: Transfer RNA (tRNA) molecules are approximately 80 nucleotides in length. Their secondary structure includes four short double-helical elements and three loops (D, anti-codon, and T loops). The record is from Rfam by way of RNAcentral. Lineage: Eukaryota; Metazoa; Chordata; Lepidosauria; Squamata; Lacertidae.
GCUUUAGAUCAGUUGGUAGAGCAUGAGAUUCUAAAUCUCAGGGUUGUGGGCUUGAGCCCCAUGUUGGGCA